This 412-nucleotide long non-coding RNA is filed under the name Gossypium barbadense (sea-island cotton). RNAcentral's name for it is "long non-coding RNA (GBAR_LNC023378)". The record is from RNAcentral. Lineage: Eukaryota; Viridiplantae; Streptophyta; Magnoliopsida; Malvales; Malvaceae.
UGUCAAUAGGAUAAUAUUAAAGUUUCGUUAAGAAAUUUUAAUGUUUCGAUAGUUAAUUAUGAAAAAGGAUUAAAUUGCAAUAGGGAUAAAAGUUUAAUUAUAGAUUAAAGAAAAGUUAAAAGGACCAAAUAGGAAAUUAUGCCUUUUUCUAAAGUUGAGGCGGCAUAAUGAAAGAAAUAUCUGAGAUAUUCUAGUUAAUAUAUAUAUAUAUAUAUAUGUAAGUAAUGAUUAUUAUUAAUAUUUUAUAUUAUAUUAUAUUAUAUAUAUAUAUAUGACAAAGAAAGAAAGAAAAGAAACAGAGAGCAAAACAAAACAGAGAAGGGAGAAAGAAAGAAACAGAGAGCAAAACGAAACAGAGAAGGAAGGAAGGAAAGAAAGAAAGAAAAGAAAAGAAAAAGGGAAAUUUGGGGUU